UCUGUUCAUAUGGAUUUUAUACUUGUCACCUAGAAAAACCUGACCACUCAAUUUGGCAUCACAGAGUUUCCAGUUUAUUUCUUUUUCUUCAAACAUAAGUGAUUUAUGUCCUAUUGAGGAGCCUUUGGUAUCAGUUUUCAUUCUUUCAAAUGUACAGUCUUUUAAGAAGUAGUGUUUUCCUCUGCCUUCGCUAAAGGCAUUUCACAGAAAUAUCUCAUUAUUUAUUUAUAAAGGUAAGUUUCUGGAAUAAGGUAACAUUACCACUGUUCUACUAUUGCCUCUACACACAUGGAGACAUUCAUAAUUGAUAAAAUGGUCCAUACUAGUGUUACAGCUAGAAUAAAUCUAAGGUUGGAUCUCUGGGAGAGCAAAUCCUGUCCUCAUUUUUGUUAAGAAAUAAAUAAAAGGCAUGAGUUAAAAAUUAUCCAAAAGGAGGAGGAGGGCAUGUAGGCUGGGCAGAGGGAAGACAACAAGGUUUGAAAAAAGAAGAGAGGAUAUAGAUGGAAGAAAACCAGUCAGAAGAAUAUCUUGAAGAAUGAGUGGUUUUUUUGGUUUGGUUUUGGUUGUUUUGGUACCAGGGACUGAACUCAGGACCUUGCACUUGCGAGGCACGCAGCAUAACCACUGAGCUAAAUCCCUGGCCCAACUUUCUGCAUCUCUCUCUUGUUGGAGCAGGCUAAUGAUUGACUGCUGUCUUAGCCUUUUGUUGCUGGCAAGGUCCUGGAAGAAACUGAAAGUCUUUGAGCAACAAUGGAUUAAACUGCUUUAGGAAAUUCUGAGCUGAUGAACAUCAAAUUGGCAGGUUGAGUUUGAUGGAUCCUCUGCUGUUGAGAGAGUUGUUGGAGGCUGUAGAACAAUGAAGGAAUGAGCAAAGUGUAUGCUGCACUGGCUGUGAAAUAUCUCUGGUUUGCAGUGAUGCACAUAAAUUGAACUCAUCCCCAGUGACCAGAGCAUGUCACAUUACCAAGCCCACCUUCAGGAUGUUUGAAUACAGUGAAGAAAAGCUGUUUCUUUAGUGAGAAACAAAGAUUCAAGAUUGAGCUGAUCCUAGUUUUGAAUUUAUAUGUGAAAAUCAUGGAACCCUGUUUUAGGCCUUAAAAUAUGGAUGGAUAGCCAUGGAUCCUGAAAUAUCAAAGGAAAGCUCCCAGCUGGAAAGAGCCACCAGGUUAACAUCAAAUUCCUGAAGCAAAAUGGAGAGAGGAGCAAAUGAUUUGAGAUGGCAGAGAAUUUGGAGAAAAACUGAUGGAGACACUCAUGAUAUGGAUUGAAGAUAAAGAAUGCGAAAAAGGAAGACCAGACAUCACACACUGAUUUGGGGGAAAUUGGAGGUCCAGAGGUAGAACCCUCUUCAAUAAGCAGGCUUAUGUGCUUUGACUUAAUAUUCAGAUAUUCUCAUCAAUGAUUUCCAGAAAGGGACAUUGAUGUGCUUUGGAAACAAUGAUGGAAAAACAGUAAAUGUGUACUGGAAUGCUUUUAGAGUUCUAAAAUCAUAUUGGAAAAUGUCCGAGCAUUCCAACACAACUGUAAACAAUCCCAUGCUGUAUUUAUGGGGGAUAACAAGUCUGUUUUUAAGUCUUUUGCAAUAUUAUUUCUAUGUUUUUAAUGUAUUGAAUUAAAGCCAGAUUUAUUCAAUUAAGAUAAUGCACUUCAAGGUUAACUGCCAUUUGCUGUUCAUUUAGGCAAGCUAUUGUACAGUUAUGUAAAUUUCAUGAACAGAGACACUACUCCAGUGUCUUAAUUAUAAGCAAAAAGUGUCAUUUAAAUAUGAAUUCAGUGAAUAGUUGCCUGUAUUUCCUGUUUCUGUAUUUUCUUCUUAAAAAUCCAAGG
RNAcentral lists this long non-coding RNA (1827 nucleotides) under Heterocephalus glaber (naked mole-rat). RNAcentral describes it as "lncRNA (ENSHGLG00000042674.1)". Lineage: Eukaryota; Metazoa; Chordata; Mammalia; Rodentia; Bathyergidae. The record is from RNAcentral.